AUGCACGCUGGCGGCGUGCCUAAUACAUGCAAGUCGCGCGAACGGACGAGAAGCUUGCUUCUCUGAUGUUAGCGGCGGACGGGUGAGUAACACGUGGAUAACCUACCUAUAAGACUGGGAUAACUUCGGGAAACCGGAGCUAAUACCGGAUAAUAUUUUGAACCGCAUGGUUCAAAAGUAAAAGACGGUCUUGCUGUCACUUAUAGAUGGAUCCGCGCUGCAUUAGCUAGUUGGUAAGGUAACGGCUUACCAAGGCAACGAUGCAUAGCCGACCUGAGAGGGUGAUCGGCCACACUGGAACUGAGACACGGUCCAGACUACUACGGGAGGCAGCAGUAGGGAAUCUUCCGCAAUGGGCGAAAGCCUGACGGAGCAACGCCGCGUGAGUGAUGAAGGUCUUCGGAUCGUAAAACUCUGUUAUUAGGGAAGAACAUAUGUGUAAGUAACUGUGCACAUCUUGACGGUACCUAAUCAGAAAGCCACGGCUAACUACGUG
RNAcentral lists this ribosomal RNA (496 nucleotides) under uncultured bacterium. RNAcentral's name for it is "partial 16S ribosomal RNA". It matches the Rfam family "Bacterial small subunit ribosomal RNA", at positions 29 to 507 of the family's 1533-position model. The record is from RNAcentral.